Molecule: non-coding RNA, 72 nt
Organism: Xylariaceae sp. FL0594
Lineage: Eukaryota; Fungi; Ascomycota; Sordariomycetes; Xylariales; Xylariaceae
Source: the annotation of a GenBank genome assembly
GGUGCUAUAGUAUAGUGGUUAGUAUAAUGCUUUGUGGCAGCAUUGACGAGAGUUCGAUUCUCUCUGGCGCCA